Loxodonta africana (African savanna elephant) is the source of this 9847-nucleotide RNA transcript. It is a transcript of the gene named G protein signaling modulator 2, with no coding region annotated. The record is from RefSeq and is a predicted model, not a curated record. Lineage: Eukaryota; Metazoa; Chordata; Mammalia; Proboscidea; Elephantidae. The transcript is spliced from 3 exons.
GAAAAACGUCUCAGCACAAAAAAGCAUGUGGAAAAAUGAAAUGGCCAACAACACACAUGAAAAGGCAUCAAAAUGACAGCACUAAAAACUUAUUUAUCUAUAAUUACGCUGAAUGUAAAUGGACUAAAUGCACCAAUAAAGAGACAGAGAGUUACGGACUGGAUAAAGAAACACGAUCCAUCUAUAUGCUGCCUACAAGAGACACACCUUAGACUUAGAGACACAAACAAACUAAAACUCAAAGGAUGGAAAAAAAUAUAUCAAGCAAACAAUAAGCAAAAAAGAAGAGGAGUAGCAAUAUUAAUUUCUGACAAAAUAGACUUUAGACUUAAAUCCGCCAUAAAGGAUAAGAAGGACACUAUAUAAUGAUAAAAGGGACAAUUGAUCAGGAAGACAUAACCGUAUUAAAUAUUUACGCACCUAAUGACAGGGCUGCAAGAUACAUAAAUCAAAUUUUAACAGAAUUGAAAAGUGAGAUAGACACCUCCACAUAUAUAGUAGGAGACUUCAACACACCACUUUCAGAGAAGGACAGGACAUCCAGUAAGAAGCUCAAUAGAGACACGGAAGACCUACUUAAAACAAUCAACCAACUUGACCUCAUUGACUUAUACAGAACUCUCCACCCAACUGCUGCAAAAUAUACUUUUUUUUCUAGUGCACAUGGAACAUUCUCUAGAAUAGACCACAUAUUAGGUCAUAAAACAAAUCUUUGCAGAAUCCAAAACAUCGAAAUAUUACAAAGCAUCUUCUCAGACCACAAGGCAAUGAAGCUAGAAAUCAAUAACAGAAAAACUAGGGAAAAGAAAUCAAAUACUUGGAAAAUGAACAAUACCCUCCUGAAAAAAGACUGGGUUAUAGAAGACAUCAAGGAGGGAAUAAGGAAAUUCUUAGAAAGCAACGAGAAUGAAAAUACUUCCUAUCAAAACCUCUGGGACACAGCAAAAGCAGUGCUCAGAGGCCAAUUUAUAUCGAUAAAUGCACACAUACAAAAAGAAGAAAGAGCCAAAAUCAGAGAACUGUCCCGACAACUUGAACAAGUAGAAACUGAGCAACAAAAGAACCCAUCAGGCACCCGAAGAAAACAAAUAAUAAAAAUUAGAGCUGAACUAAAUGAAUUAGAGAACAGAAAAACAAUUGAAAGAAUUAACAAAGCCAAAAGCUGGUUCUUUGAAAAAAUUAACAAAAUUGAUAAACCAUUGGCUAGACUGACUAAAGAAAAACAGGAAAGGAAACAAAUAACCCGAAUAAGAAACGAGAAGGACCACAUCACAACAGAACCAAAUGAAAUCAAAAGAAUCAUAUCAAAUUACUAUAUAAAAUUGUACUCUAACAAAUUUGAAAACCUAGAAGAAAUGGAUAAAUUCUUGGAACAAUACUACCUACCUAAACUAACACAUUCAGAAGUAGAACAACUAAAUAGACCCAUAACAAAAAAAGAGAUUGAAACGGUAAUCCAAAAACUUCCAACAAAAAAAAGUCCUGGCCCAGACGGCUUCACUGCAGAGUUCUACCAAACCUUCAGAGAAGACUUAACACCAUUACUAUUGAAGGUAUUUCAAAGCAUAGAAAAUGACGGAACACUACCCAACUCAUUCUAUGAAGCUACCAUCUCCCUGAUACCAAAACCAGGUAAAGACAUUACAAAAAAAGAAAAUUAUAGACCUAUAUCCCUCAUGAACAUAGAUGCAAAAAUCCUCAACAAAAUUCUAGCCAAUAGAAUCCAACAACACAUCAAAAAAAUAAUACACCCUGAUCAAGUGGGAUUUAUACCAGGUAUGCAAGGCUGGUUUAAUAUCAGAAAAACCAUUAAUGUAAUCCAUCACAUAAAUAAAACAAAAGAUAAAAACCACAUGAUCUUAUCAAUAGGUGCAGAAAAGGCAAUUGACAAAGUUCAACACCCAUUUAUGAUAAAAACUCUUACCAAAAUAGGAAUUGAAGGAAAAUUCCUCAACAUAAUAAAGGGCAUCUAUGCAAAGCCAACGGCCAAUAUCACUCUAAAUGGAGAGAACCUGAAAGCAUUUCCCUUGAGAACGGGAACCAGACAAGGAUGCCCUUUAUCACCGCUCUUAUUCAACAUCGUACUUGAAGUCCUAGCCAGGGCAAUUAGGGUAGACAAAGAAAUAAAGGGUAUCCAGAUUGGUAAGGAGGAAGUAAAGCUAUCACUAUUUGCAGAUGACAUGGAAAACCCUAAGGAAUCCUCCAGAAAACUACUGAAACUAAUAGAAGAGUUUGGAAGAGUCUCAGGUUAUAAAAUAAACAUACAAAAAUCACUUGGAUUCCUCUACAUCAACAAAAAGAAUACCGAAGAGGAAAUAACCAAAUCAAUACCAUUCACAGUAGCCCCCAAGAAGAUAAAAUACUUAGGAAUAAAUCUUACCAAGGAUAUAAAAGACCUAUACAAAGAAAACUAUAAAACUCUGCUACAAGAAAUUCAAAAGGACAUACUUAAGUGGAAAAACAUACCCUGCUCAUGGAUAGGAAGACUUAACAUAGUAAAAAUGUCUAUUCUACCAAAAGCCAUUUAUACAUAUAACGCACUUCCAAUCCAAAUACCAAUGUCAUACUUUAAGGGGAUAGAGAAACAAAUCACUAAUUUCAUAUGGAAAGGAAAGAACCCCCCGAUAAGCAAAACAUUACUGAAAAAGAAGAAAGUGGGAGGCCUCACCCUACCUGAUUUCAGAACCUAUUAUAUAGCUACAGUAGUCAAAACAGCCUGGUACUGGUACAACAACAGGCACAUAGACCAAUGGAACAGAAUUGAGAACCCAGAUAUAAAUCCAUCCACGUAUGAGCAGCUGAUAUUUGACAAAGGACCAGUGUCAGUCAAUUGGGGAAAUAAUAGUCUUUUUAACAAAUGGUGCUGGCAUAACUGGAUAUCCAUUUGCAAAAGAAUGAUACAGGACCCAUACCUCACACCAUGCACAAAAACUAACUCCAAGUGGAUCAAAGACCUAAACAUAAAGACUAAAACGAUAAAAAUCAUGGAAGAAAAAAUAGGAUCUACCCUAGGAGCCCUAAUACAGGGCAUAAACAGAAUACAAAACAUUACCAAAAAUGAUGAAGAGAAAGCAGAUAACUGGGAGCUCCUAAAAAUCAAACAUCUAUGCUCAUCUAAAGACUUCACCAAAAGAGUAAAAAGACCACCUACAGACUGGGAAAGAAUUUUCAGCUAUGACAUCUCAGACCAGCGCCUGAUCUCUAAAAUCUACAUGAUUUUGUCAAAACUCAACCACAAAAAGACAAACAACCCAAUCAAGAAGUGGGCAAAGGAUAUGAACACACAUUUCACUAAGGAAGAUAUUCAGGCAGCCAACAGAUACAUGAGAAAAUGCUCUCGAUCAUUAGCCAUUAGAGAAAUGCAAAUUAAAACUACGAUGAGAUUCCAUCUCACACCAACUAGACUGGCAUUAAUCCAAAAAACACAAAAUAAUAAAUGUUGGAGAGGCUGCGGAGAGAUUGGAACUCUCAUACACUGCUGGUGGGAUUGUAAAAUGGUACAACCACUUUGGAAAUCCAUCUGGCGUUAUCUUAAACAGUUAGAAAUAGAACUACCAUACAACCCAGAAAUCCCACUCCUUGGAAUAUACCCUAAAGAUACAAGAGCCUUCACACAAACAGAUAUAUGCACACCCAUGUUUAUUGCAGCUCUGUUUACAAUAGCAAAAAGCUGGAAGCAACCAAGAUGUCCGUCAACGGACGAAUGGGUAAAUAAAUUGUGGUAUAUUCACACAAUGGAAUACUACGCAUCGAUAAAGAACAGUGACGAAUCUGUGAAACAUUUCAUAACAUGGAGGAACCUGGAAGGCAUUAUGCUGAGCGAAAUGAGUCAGUUGCAAAAGGACAAAUAUUGUAUAAGACCACUCUUAUAAGAUCUUGAGAAAUAGAAAAAACGGAGAAGAACACAUACUUAUGUGGUUACAAAGGGGGAGGGAGAGGGCUUUUUAUUGAUCAAUCUGUAGAUAAGAACUGCUUUGGGUGAAGGGAAAGACAACACUCAAUAAAGGAAGGUCAGCCUAAUUGGACUGGAUUAAAAGCAAAGAGGUUUCUGGGAUAAAAUGAAAGCUUCAAAGGUCAGCGGAGCAGGGGCUGGGGUCUGGGGAACUUGGUUUGAGGGGACUUCUAAGUCAAUGGGCAAAAUAAUUCUAUUAAUGAAAACACUCUGCAUCCGACUUUGAAUUGUGGCGCCUGGGGUCCUAAAUGCCAACAAGCAGCCAUCUAAGAUACAUCAAUUGGUCUCAACCCACCUGGAGCAAAGGCAAAGGGAGAACACCAAGGUCACACGACAACUAAGAACCCAAGAGACAGAAAGGGCCAUGUGAACCAGAGACCUACAUUAUCCUGAGACCAGAAGAACUAGUUGGUGCCCGGCCACAAUCGAUGUCUGCCCUGUCAGGGAGCACAACAGACAACUCCUGAGGGAGCAGGAGACCAGUGGAAUACAGACCCCAAAUUCUCAUUAAAAGACCACACCUAAUGGUAUGAUUGUGACUAGAGGAAUCCCAGAGACAAUGCUCCCCAGAACUUCUGAUGGCACAGGACAGGAACCAUCCCCGAAGACAAAUCAUCAGGCAUGAAAAGGACUGGUCAGUGGAGGGGAGAGAGAUGCUGAUGAAGAGUGAGCUAAUUAAAUCAGGUGGACUCGGGAGAGUGUGUUGGCAACUCUUGACUGGAGAGGGGAUGGGAAGAUAGAGAGAGAGGGAAGAGGGCAAAAUUGGCACGAAACGAGAGACUGAAAGGGCUGACUCAAUAGGGGGAGAGCAAGUGGGAGAAGGGAGUAAGAUGUAUGUAAACCUACAUGUGACAGACUGAUUGGAAUGGUAAAUGUUCACUCGAAGCUUAAUAAAAAAAAAAAAAAAAGUUAGCAACAAAUUAAGACUUGCUCUUAAUUGGAAUACAUACUUCAGGAUUAUAUAUUUGCUUAAGGAAAGCUUUAUCGAUAAACUUUUUACGGCAUAAUCUAUAGUAAAUCCUCCACUUCUCCAGACUGAUAUAGAAAGUAUAAUCUACUUUAUUGAACGAUAUGAUUAAGUUUAUUUUAUUAAUUUGGGAUUGUUUAAUCUACAUUUUGUUUAUAUGACAGUAUCAGUUAGCACUAAAACCAUAUUUAACAUACUCUGUUUUGAUAGUAUGGAAGAAGACUUAAGGGUCUUUAUAGUGUCUUGGGUUCCUCUUGGAAACCCUGCUGCCAUAGUGGUUAAGAGUUCAGGUGUAACCAAAAAGUUGGCAGUUCGAAUCCACUAGGUGCUCCUUGGAAACCCUAUGGGGCAGUUUUACCCUGUCCUACAGGGUCGCUGUGAAUUGGAACCAACUUGACAGCAAGGAGUUUGGUUUUGAUUUUGGAGUUUCUCCUUACAGUAUUAUGUAACACUUUGAUUGUAUUGGCUUAAGGACACUAUAUUGAAUUAAAAAAUCAUAAUUUUUAUGUAUUGCUUUCCUUUUUUCUCCUUUUGGAAUUUCUUUUUUGCCACAGACUUUUUGCAGUAUUAAUAUUUUAUACCUCAUUGUGUGUUUGGUAACUCUUAUUUAUUUAUUUUUUAAGUUUUAAAGAUGUGCAAAAAUUCUGGAGUAUCAGUUACUCAGUUCUACUUUUUUUUACUUCAUGCUCCUCCCCAAUUAUUGGUGUUGUACUUUUUAUCUAAUUUCAAAUUAUCUGUAGCAUGAUACCUUUAUUUUUCUUCCAGCUACUAUUUGUGCAUAUAGCACUUCACCAGGUACAAGUUUGAUAUAAGUAUUUCAUUUUUUUCAUCUCUGAAAUCUCACUCCUGCUAUCCAAUUUGUCAGUCACUGUGCAGAGUGCGGAAACCCUGUAGCAUAGUGGUUGAGAGCUACAGCUGCUAACCAAAACGUUGGCAGUUUGAAUCCACCAGGCGCUCCUUGGAAACCAUAUGGGGCAGCUCUACUCUGCUCUAUAAGGUCACUAUGAGUAGCGACUUGACGGCAACGGGUUUGGUUUUGGUUUGGUGGAGAGUGCUACUGUCUCACCUGCCUCAAAUUGGAAACCCUGAAAGCUGUCUGUUAUUUCUUGACCUUUGCCUUCUCACAUCUAGUCAGGGGCAUUGUUCUCAUUUUUCUCUUGGUACUCUUAGUCACAUUACUUAAUCAAGUACCCGGCCAUUUUGGGGCCUGACGUCCCUUUCCUUAGGUCCUAAAUUCCCAAAUCAGUCUGUUCUGCUGCCAAAGUGUAUUUUCUCACUUUUAAGUUGGCUUCUCAACACCUGCCACACUAACAUCAAGCUCUGAACUUUGCCUUCUGUUGGGCUGUUUAUUACACCCUUUUUCCUUAUACUCUUCUCAUGUCCUUACCUACGUUUCGCUUACUGCUUUUACUUUCCUACUUGUAGUUUGCAUGUAUUUGUUCCUUAUACUUGCUGUCAUAACUCUUUGUCCUGUUUCUACUUUAUCUUUCAAUAAAAUAUAGUUAGAAGUUUGGAUUAGGUGAGAUCAUAUUUAGUCCAUCUAAAAAUAAAUUGGUGUCUACGUACAGAUACAUACUUUGAGAGAAAACCUGUUUACCUGGGGUAGUUAUUUGAGUUUAUUCUAGAGAUGCAUGUUUUGGCAUCUUACAUUAAACUUUACUACCCCCAUAAUUAUGUGAUGUGUAUCUGUUUUUACCUGUACUCCUGAAUUCUAACAUAACAGAACUUUAUUUUAAAUGUGUUUUAAAUAUGCUCUUGAUUCUUCCUUUAUAUUUAUUCCUGCCCAAAUUGAUGAAGGGCUACUAUAUCUGACUUGAAACAUUACAGCUGAAGGGGAUUUGGAGAAUGUGAGUGUUGUAUAUUAGAGGAAAUUAUUAGGAAAAGAGAAAUUAAAGAAUUUAAGUUAUCUAGCCUGGAGACAAGAAAAAUAAACUUAAUUUAAUGAGAUGGAGAAACAAAUCACCAACUUCAUAUGGAAGGGAAAGAGGCCCUGGUUAAGUAAAGCAUUAUUGAAAAAGAAGAACAAAGUGGGAGGCCUCACACUACCUGAUUUUAGAACUUAUUAUACCGCCACAGUAGUCAAAACAGCCUGGUACUGGUACAACAACAGAUACAUAGACCAAUGGAACAGAAUUGAGAAUCCGGACAUAAAUCCAUCCACAUAUGAGCAGCUGAUAUUUGACAAAGGCCAAAGUCAGUUAAAUGGGGAAAAGACAGUCUCUUUAACAAACGCUGGUGGCAUAACUGGAUAUCCAUCUGUAAAAAAAUGAAACAAGACCCAUACCUCACACCAUGUACAAAAACUAACUCAAAAUGGAUCAAAGACCUAAAUAUAAAAAUCUAAAACAAUAAAGAUCGUGGAAGAAAAAAUAGAACAACACUAGGAGCCCUAAUACAUGGCAUAAGCUGGGAGCUUGGAUAACUGGGAGCUCCUAAAAAUCAAACAGCUAUGCUCAUCCAAAGAUGUCACCAAAAGAGUAAAAAGAUUACUUGCAGGCUGGGAAAAAGUUUUUAGCUAUGACAUUUCCAAUCAGAGUCUGAUCUCUGAAAUCCACAUGAUACUGCAGAAACUCAACAACAAAAAGACAAAUAGCCAAUUAAAAAAUGGGCAAAGAAUAUGAACAGGCACUUCACUAAAGAAGGCACUCAGAUAGCUAACAGAUAUUUGAAGAAAUGCUCGUGAUCAUUAGCCAUUAAAAAAAAAAAAGCCAUUGGAGAAGUGCAAAUCAAAACUACAGUGAGAUUCAAUCUCACUCCAACAAGGCUGGCAUUAAUCCAAAAAACACAAAAUAAUAUAUGUUGGAGACACCAUGGAGAGACUGGAACACUUAUACACUGCUGGUGGGAAUGUAGAAUGGUACAACCACUUUGGAAAUCGAUUUGGCACCUCCUUAGAAAGCUAGAAAUAGAACUACCAUAUGAUCUAGCAAUCCCACUCCUUGGAAUAUAUCCUAGAGAAAUAAAAGCCUUUACAUGAACAGAUAUAUGCACACCCAUGUUCAUUGCAACACUGUUUACAAUAGCAAAAAGAUGGAAGCAACCAAGGUGCCCAUCAGUGGAUGAAUGGAUAAAUAAAUUAUGGUAUACUCACACAGUGGUACAAAUAAAUUAUGGUAUGGAUAAAUAAAUUACGGUAUACUCACACGAUGGAAUACUGUGCAAUGAUGAACAAUGAUGAAUCCAUGAAACAUUUCAUAACAUGGAGGAAUCCGGAAGGCAUUAUGCUGAGUAAGAUUAGUCAGUUGCAAAAGGACAAAUAUUGUAUGAGACCACUAUUGCAAGAACUCAAGAAAUAGUUUAAACAUAGAAGAAAAUAUUCUUUGAUGGUUAAGAGAGUGGGGAGGGAGGGAGUAUUCACUAAUUAGGCAGUAGACGAAAACUGUUUUAAGUGAAGGGAAAGACAACACACAGUACAGGAGAGGUCAGCAGAACUGGACUAAAGCAAAAGCAAAGAAUUUUCCUGAAUAAACUGAACACUUCAAAGGCCCGUGUAGCAAGGGCUGGGGUUUGGGAACCAUGGUUUCAGGGGACAUCUAGGUCAAUUGGCAUGAUAAAGUCUAUUAAGAAAACAUUCUGCAUCCCGCUUUGGAGAGUGGCAUCUGGGGUGUUAAACUCUAGCAAGUGGUCAUCUAAGAUGCAUCAAUUGGUCUCAGCCCACCUGGAGCAAAGGAGAAUGAAGAACACCAAAGACACCAGGUAAUUAUGAGCCCAAGAGACAGAAAGGGCCACGUAAACCAGAGACUACAUCAGCCUGAGACCAGGGGAACUAGAUGGUGCCUGGCUACAACAGAUGACUGCCCUGACAGGGAACACAACAGAAAACCCCUGAAGGAGCAGGAUAGUAGUGGGAUGCAGACCUCAAAUUCUCAUAAAAAGACCAGACUUAAUGGUCUAACUGAGACUGGAAGGACCCUUGUGGUCAUGGUCCCCAGACCUUCUGUUAGCCUAGGACAGGAACCAUUCCCAAAGCCAACUCUUCAGACGGGGAUUGGACUGGACUAUAAGGCAGAAAAUGAUACCGGUGAGGAGUGAGCUUCUUGGAUCAAGUAGACACAUGAGACUAUGUGGGCGUCUCCUGUCUGGAGGCAAGAUGAGAAAGCAGAGGGAGACAGAAGCUGGCUGAAUGGACACGGACAUAGAGGUGGAGAGGAGUGUGCUGUCUCAUUAGGGGGAGAGCAACUAGGAGUGUAUAGCAAGGUGUGUAUAAAUUUUUGUAUGAGAGACUGACUUGAUUUGUAUAUAAAAAAAUUUUUUUUCUUUUGCUUUCACUUAAACCACAAUAAAAACUUAAAAAGAAAAAGCCUCAAAAAAAGAAAAACUUCAUUGUCUGAUUAACUUUCAAGUUGCAGAUAGGAACAAAUGGUUUAGAUAAAUUGAAAAAAAGACAAAAGAUAUAAAUGUAACUCUGUAUCCUUCACUUUCCCCAUUCCCUAGUUUGCAACCUUCUAUUGCCAGUGGAGUAAAGCAGGGCCUUCAUUUCUUUGACGAAGAAACAGCCUUUCUUGUCUACUCUGUUGGCAUACCUUGGACAGAGCCUAGAAGUCCACCUAGCCAUAUGACAGAGUCGGCCUAUUUGACUUUCUAAUCAGACCACAAGAUGCUGUGAGCUGGCAGUUUUGUUAGCUGUGAAGUGUUUGCAGCAUUGCUUAAAACCUGGGAGAUGCUAUUAAGGGAGAAAUGUUGCUGAGGUGCUGCUGAAAGGGCCAGAGAUGCAAGGAUUUGGGACACAUUUUGAACCUUUAAGCUGUAUGACAUUGACCUCCUUUCAUAAUUAAUAAAGAAGAAGCAGGAGCUUAGGAUAUAUUAACACCAACUCAUUAAUGUACUAACCCGACAAUGUUCUGCAAAUAAUUCUACAGUGUAAAGAACUGGAUUGGGACAAAAUAAGAUAAUUUCAUAUUUUACUCAGCUUAUAAUAUGACUCGAUG